CCACCCGUCAUCAGGGAGUAGCCGCCCUCCGAAUGCGAGAGGGACGUGUGUCAACAGACUUGCCGGUUCCGGCAUGGCACACGUGGUCCGAGACUUGGCGAGACUUUUGACCGUAAUGCUCUGCAUGGCCGGGACGCAUUGCGGUCACUCGUUUUCGCGUCCCGGCCAUG
This 170-nucleotide small RNA is filed under the name Aquitalea magnusonii. Its description in RNAcentral is "Manganese sequence". It matches the Rfam family "Manganese Mn2+ riboswitch aptamer (yybP-ykoY)". Rfam says of the family: This RNA was originally discovered in E. coli during a large scale screen and was named SraF. Lineage: Bacteria; Pseudomonadati; Pseudomonadota; Betaproteobacteria; Neisseriales; Chromobacteriaceae. The record is from RNAcentral.